GACGAAGGAUGCAAGCGUUAUCCGGAUUCAUUGGGUUUAAAGGGAGCGUAGGUGGCCUUAUUAAGUCAGUGGUGAAAUCUUCGAGCUUAACUCGGAAAUUGCCAUUGAUACUGUAGGGCGUUGAGUAUAGUUGCCGGUUGGCGGAAUAUGACAUGUAGUGGUGAAAUACAUAGAGAUGUCAUAGAACACCGAUUGCGAAGGCAGCUGACGAAACUAUAACUGACACUGAGGCUCGAAAGUGCGGGGAUCAAACAGG
This 256-nucleotide ribosomal RNA is filed under the name uncultured bacterium. RNAcentral describes it as "partial 16S ribosomal RNA". It matches the Rfam family "Bacterial small subunit ribosomal RNA", at positions 524 to 776 of the family's 1533-position model. The record is from RNAcentral.